This 253-nucleotide ribosomal RNA is filed under the name uncultured bacterium. RNAcentral's name for it is "partial 16S ribosomal RNA". It matches the Rfam family "Bacterial small subunit ribosomal RNA", at positions 524 to 776 of the family's 1533-position model. The record is from RNAcentral.
GACAGAGGUGCCGAGCGUUAGGCGGAAUUACUGGGCGUAAAGGGCUCGUAGGCGGCCAACUAAGUCAGACGUGAAAUCCCCAGGCUCAACCUGGGAACUGCGUCUGAUACUGGAUGGCUUGAAUUCGGGAGAGGGAUGCAGAAUUCCAGGUGUAGCGGUGAAAUGCGUAGAUAUCUGGAGGAACACCGGUGGCGAAGGCGGGUCUCUGGGCCGAUACUGACGCUGAGGAGCGAAAGCGUGGGGAGCGAACAGG